This 86-nucleotide transfer RNA is filed under the name Alphaproteobacteria bacterium. Its description in RNAcentral is "tRNA-Leu". It matches the Rfam family "tRNA". From Rfam's summary of the family: Transfer RNA (tRNA) molecules are approximately 80 nucleotides in length. Their secondary structure includes four short double-helical elements and three loops (D, anti-codon, and T loops). Lineage: Bacteria; Pseudomonadati; Pseudomonadota; Alphaproteobacteria. The record is from RNAcentral.
GACCCCGUGGUGGAAUCGGUAGACACUACAGACUUAAAAUCUGUUGUCCUUGUGGCGUGCCGGUUCGAGUCCGGCCGGGGUCACCA